UACGAAGGGUGCAAGCGUUAAUCGGAAUUACUGGGCGUAAAGCGCGCGUAGGUGGUUCAGCAAGUUGGAUGUGAAAGCCCUGGGCUCAACCUGGGAACUGCAUCCAAAACUACUGAGCUAGAGUACGGUAGAGGGUAGUGGAAUUUCCUGUGUAGCGGUGAAAUGCGUAGAUAUUCGGAAGAACACCAGUGGCGAAGGCGACUGACUGGACAAGUAUUGACGCUGAGGUGCGAAAGCGUGGGGAGCAAACAGGAUUAGAAACCCCGGUAGU
Molecule: ribosomal RNA, 271 nt
Filed under: uncultured bacterium
Lineage: Bacteria
Description: partial 16S ribosomal RNA
Rfam family: Bacterial small subunit ribosomal RNA
Source: RNAcentral